GCAUAUCCAUAGCGGAGGAAAAGAACUAACAAGGGAUUCCCCUAGUAACUGCGAGUGAAGCGGGAAAAGCUCAAAUUUAAAAUCUGGCGGUCUUUGGCCGUCCGAGUUGUAGUCUGGAGAAGUGUUUUCCGUGCUGGACCGUGUACAAGUCUCUUGGAACAGAGCGUCAUAGAGGGUGAGAAUCCCGUCUUUGACACGGACUACCAGUGCUUUGUGAUGCGCUCUCAAAGAGUCGAGUUGUUUGGGAAUGCAGCUCAAAAUGGGUGGUAAAUUCCAUCUAAAGCUAAAUAUUGGCGAGAGACCGAUAGCGAACAAGUACCGUGAGGGAAAGAUGAAAAGCACUUUGGAAAGAGAGUUAAACAGUACGUGAAAUUGCUGAAAGGGAAACGCUUGAAGUCAGUCGCGUUGAUCAGAACUCAGCCUUGCUUUUGCUUGGUGCAUUUUCUGGUUGACGGGCCAGCAUCGAUUUUGACCAUCGGAAAAAGGCCAGGGGAAUGUGGCACCUUCGGGUGUGUUAUAGCCCUUGGUCACAUACGGUGGUUGGGAUCGAGGACCGCAGCACGCCUUUAUGGCCGGGGUUCGCCCACGUUCGUGCUUAGGAUGCUGGCGUAAUGGCUUUAAACGACCCGUCUUGAAACACGGACCAAGGAGUCUAACAUGCCUGCGAGUGUUUGGGUGGAAAACCCGAGCGCGUAAUGAAAGUGAAAGUUGAGAUCCCUGUCGUGGGGAGCAUCGACGCCCGGACCUGAACUUCGGUGAUGGCUCUGCGGUAGAGCAUGUAUGUUGGGACCCGAAAGAUGGUGAACUAUGCCUGAAUAGGGUGAAGCCAGAGGAAACUCUGGUGGAGGCUCGUAGCGAUUCUGACGUGCAAAUCGAUCGUCAAAUUUGGGUAUAGGGGCGAAAGACUAAUCGAACCAUCUAGUAGCUGGUCUGCGA
Molecule: ribosomal RNA, 936 nt
Filed under: Fomitopsis quercina
Lineage: Eukaryota; Fungi; Basidiomycota; Agaricomycetes; Polyporales; Fomitopsidaceae
Description: LSU rRNA
Rfam family: Eukaryotic large subunit ribosomal RNA
Source: RNAcentral